Hordeum vulgare subsp. vulgare (domesticated barley) is the source of this 745-nucleotide long non-coding RNA. RefSeq lists it as uncharacterized. The record is from RefSeq and is a predicted model, not a curated record. NCBI's taxonomy places the organism in Eukaryota, Viridiplantae, Streptophyta, Magnoliopsida, Poales, Poaceae. The transcript is spliced from 3 exons.
UGCAACUGGUGUCACAAGCCAUAUGCUGCAGAAUCAACCUCUGGUACGUCACACUUAAGGACUCAUCGUAAAAAUUGUCCGGCACAACUUGUCUUCACAACCUAUUGCUCCAUCUCAAGUUCGCACAGAAUUGGACAAUUACUUGGACGAGCCCCUUAUCCGUAGAACAGCAGAUUUUGACAUUAUUAAUUGGUGGAAAGUUGGAGGUGCCAAGUAUCCUACUUUGCAGAAGAUUGCUCGUGAUAUAUUAUCCAUCCUUGUUACAUAUGUGGCAUCGGAAUCAGUCUUUAGUACUAGCGGAAGGUUACUAAGUGCACAUCGUAGUCGUCUUACACCAAGCAUAGCUGAAGCUCUUAUGUGUAUGCAAGCUUGGUCACGAGCGGACAUGUUAGGUGAUAUAAACUUUGCUCUGCAAGCAGUUCAAUCUGUUCUUGAGGAUGAGGAAGAAAUAAUGGAUGAAAAUGAGUCCAUCAUUAGUGAAGACUAAUUUGGAGCCAAGUGUGUUGGACAUGGCAUUAAAUUACUGAAGACUAAUUUGGAGCCAUGUAUCCCUACAUGUGGACAUGCGUCUGGGUCUGCCAUUACUAGCAUGCAUGUCAUUUAUUUAUUCAACUUCGGUUAUGAUGUUCAAUAAGAUCUUACAACUUUGAUUGUGAUGUAAUAUGAUUUUAAGACAAGAGUUCUACUGGGAGACUAUUUGAGUUGUCAUUGUGAGACUAUUUAAGAGUUGUCAUUAUGAUUUUAA